GACGAACGCUGGCGGCGUGCUUAACACAUGCAAGUCGAACGGAAAGGCCCUGCUUUUGUGGGGUGCUCGAGUGGCGAACGGGUGAGUAACACGUGAGUAACCUGCCCUUGACUUUGGGAUAACUUCACGAAACUGGGGCUAAUACCGGAUAGGAGCUCCUGCUGCAUGGUGGGGGUUGGAAAGUUUCGGCGGUUGGGGAUGGACUCGCGGCUUAUCAGCUUGUUGGCGGGGUAGUGGCUUACCAAGGCUUUGACGGGUAGCCGGCCUGAGAGGGUGACCGGCCACAUUGGGACUGAGAUACGGCCCAGACUCCUACGGGAGGCAGCAGUGGGGAAUAUUGCACAAUGGGCGGAAGCCUGAUGCAGCAACGCCGCGUGCGGGAUGACGGCCUUCGGGUUGUAAACCGCUUUCGCCUGUGACGAAGCGUGAGUGACGGUAAUGGGUAAAGAAGCACCGGCUAACUACGUG
RNAcentral lists this ribosomal RNA (468 nucleotides) under uncultured bacterium. RNAcentral describes it as "partial 16S ribosomal RNA". It matches the Rfam family "Bacterial small subunit ribosomal RNA", at positions 28 to 507 of the family's 1533-position model. The record is from RNAcentral.